Molecule: long non-coding RNA, 496 nt
Filed under: Homo sapiens (human)
Lineage: Eukaryota; Metazoa; Chordata; Mammalia; Primates; Hominidae
Description: long non-coding RNA NONHSAT216189.1
Source: RNAcentral
GGGCCAAGCGUUGCUGAAAGGUGGAAGAAUUCAUGGAAAGAAGGUUAUACCAGAAACCAAGAUCUGCUUUUUAAAAGGGAACAUGUACGCUCAUGUUUUGGCUUGAAUUCACUGCCUUUCACCUAUGUGUGGUCCCUCCUGUGCCGAGUCAGCAUGGAGUUCAGGUAAGCCAUGGUUCUUUGCUUGUGCAGUGGCCUCUGCCUCGCUUCUCCUUGCUAAGUCUUACUCAUCCUUCAAGACCUACCCCAGGUGUCAUCCUUUCCAGGAAGUGUCUCUGAACCACCUCACGGGAUUAAAAAGCAUCAUGCCACCUUAGCACAUCUACGGCAGUGGGUCUCAAUUGGGGGUGGGUGACUUUGUUUCACUGAGGACAUUUGGCAAUGUCUGGAGACAAUUUUGAUUGUCAUGACUGGGGGUGGGGAUGGAAAGUGUACCACUGGCAUCUAGUGGGUGGAGGCCAGGGAUGCCGCUAAACAUCCUGCAGAGCACAGCACAG